This 501-nucleotide ribosomal RNA is filed under the name uncultured bacterium. Its description in RNAcentral is "partial 16S ribosomal RNA". It matches the Rfam family "Bacterial small subunit ribosomal RNA", at positions 30 to 523 of the family's 1533-position model. The record is from RNAcentral.
AUUGAACGCUGGCGGCAGGCUUAACACAUGCAAGUCGAGCGGGGAAGGGUAGCUUGCUACCUAACCUAGCGGCGGACGGGUGAGUAAUGCUUAGGAAUCUGCCUAUUAGUGGGGAACAACAUUCCGAAAGGAAUGCUAAUACCGCAUACGCCCUACGGGGGAAAGCAGGGGAUCUUCGGACCUUGCGCUAAUAGAUGAGCCUAAGUCAGAUUAGCUAGUUGGUGGGGUAAAGGCCUACCAAGGCGACGAUCUGUAGCGGGUCUGAGAGGAUGAUCCGCCACACUGGGACUGAGACACGGCCCAGACUCCUACGGGAGGCAGCAGUGGGGAAUAUUGGACAAGGGGCGAAAGCCUGAUCCAGCCAUGCCGCGUGUGUGAAGAAGGCCCUUUGGUUGUAAAGCACUUUAAGCGAGGAGGAGGCUACUUGGAUUAAUACUCUAGGAUAGUGGACGUUACUCGCAGAAUAAGCACCGGCUAACUCUGUGCCAGCCGCCGCCGUAA